GGGCAUGUGGCGGAACUGGCAGACGCGUACGACUCAAAAUCGUAUGGGAGCAAUCUCAUGUGGGUUCGAUUCCCACCAUGCCCACCA
Molecule: transfer RNA, 87 nt
Filed under: Candidatus Falkowbacteria bacterium CG_4_10_14_0_2_um_filter_48_10
Lineage: Bacteria; Candidatus Falkowiibacteriota
Also listed under: 1 other name
Description: tRNA-Leu
Rfam family: tRNA
About the family: Transfer RNA (tRNA) molecules are approximately 80 nucleotides in length. Their secondary structure includes four short double-helical elements and three loops (D, anti-codon, and T loops).
Source: RNAcentral